Molecule: ribosomal RNA, 350 nt
Filed under: uncultured Azospira sp.
Lineage: Bacteria; Pseudomonadati; Pseudomonadota; Betaproteobacteria; Rhodocyclales; Rhodocyclaceae
Description: bacterial SSU rRNA
Rfam family: Bacterial small subunit ribosomal RNA
Source: RNAcentral
GGAGACAGGUGCUGCAUGGCUGUCGUCAGCUCGUGUCGUGAGAUGUUGGUUAAGUCCCGCAACGAGCGCAACCCUUGUCAUUAGUUGUCAUCAUUUAGUUGGGCACUCUAAUGAGACUGCCGGUGACAAACCGGAGGAAGGUGGGGAUGACGUCAAGUCCUCAUGGCCCUUAUGGGUAGGGCUUCACACGUCAUACAAUGGUCGGUACAGAGGGUUGCCAAGCCGCGAGGUGGAGCUAAUCUCAGAAAGCCGAUCGUAGUCCGGAUCGCAGUCUGCAACUCGACUGCGUGAAGUCGGAAUCGCUAGUAAUCGCGGAUCAGCAUGUCGCGGUGAAUACGUUCCCGGGUCUU